UGCGUAGGCGGCUGAUUAAGCCGGAUGUGAAAUCCCUGAGCUUAACUUAGGAAUUGCAUUCGAUACUGGUCAGCUAGAGUAUGGGAGAGGAUGGUAGAAUUCCAGGUGUAGAGGUGAAAUGCGUAGAGAUCUGGAGGAAUACCGAUGGCGAAGGCAGCCAUCUGGCCUAAUACUGACGCUGAGGUACGAAAGCAUGGGGAGCAAACA
RNAcentral lists this ribosomal RNA (207 nucleotides) under uncultured bacterium. Its description in RNAcentral is "partial 16S ribosomal RNA". It matches the Rfam family "Bacterial small subunit ribosomal RNA", at positions 568 to 774 of the family's 1533-position model. The record is from RNAcentral.